AGAGUUUGAUCCUGGCUCAGAUUGAACGCUGGCGGAAUGCUUUACACAUGCAAGUCGAACGGCAGCACGGGUGCUUGCACCUGGUGGCGAGUGGCGAACGGGUGAGUAAUGCGUCGGAACGUACCGAGUAAUGGGGGAUAACGCAGCGAAAGUUGUGCUAAUACCGCAUACGCCCUGAGGGGGAAAGUGGGGGAUCGCAAGACCUCACGUUAUUCGAGCGGCCGACGUCUGAUUAGCUAGUUGGUGGGGUAAAGGCCUACCAAGGCGACGAUCAGUAGCGGGUCUGAGAGGAUGAUCCGCCACACUGGGACUGAGACACGGCCCAGACUCCUACGGGAGGCAGCAGUGGGGAAUUUUGGACAAUGGGGGCAACCCUGAUCCAGCCAUUCCGCGUGAGUGAAGAAGGCCUUCGGGUUGUAAAGCUCUUUCAGCUGGAGUGAAACGGUACGCGCUAACAUCGCGUGCUAAUGACGGUACCAGCAGAAGAAGCACCGGCUAACUACGUGCCAGCAGCCGCGGUAAUACGUAGGGUGCGAGCGUUAAUCGGAAUUACUGGGCGUAAAGCGUGCGCAGGCGGAUUGUUAAGCAAGACGUGAAAUCCCCGGGCUUAACCUGGGAAUGGCGUUUUGAACUGGCAGUCUAGAGUGCGUCAGAGGGGGGUGGAAUUCCACGUGUAGCAGUGAAAUGCGUAGAGAUGUGGAGGAACACCAAUGGCGAAGGCAGCCCCCUGGGAUGACACUGACGCUCAUGUACGAAAGCGUGGGUAGCAAACGGGAUUAGAUACCCUGGUAGUCG
Molecule: ribosomal RNA, 795 nt
Filed under: uncultured bacterium
Lineage: Bacteria
Description: bacterial SSU rRNA
Rfam family: Bacterial small subunit ribosomal RNA
Source: RNAcentral